RNAcentral lists this ribosomal RNA (508 nucleotides) under uncultured bacterium. RNAcentral's name for it is "bacterial SSU rRNA". It matches the Rfam family "Bacterial small subunit ribosomal RNA", at positions 8 to 524 of the family's 1533-position model. The record is from RNAcentral.
AGAGUUUGAUCCUGGCUCAGGAUAAACGCUGGCGGCGCACAUAAGACAUGCAAGUCGAACGAACUUAACCAUUAGUUUACUAUUGGAGCGGUUAGUGGCGGACUGGUGAGUAACACGUAAGCAACCUGCCUAUCAGAGGGGAACAACAGUUAGAAAUGACUGCUAAUACCGCAUAUGCCUUGAGUAUCACAUGGUACAAAAGGGAAAGGAGCAAUCCGCUGAUAGAUGGGCUUGCGUCUGAUUAGAUAGUUGGUGAGGUAACGGCCCACCAAGUCGACGAUCAGUAGCCGGACUGAGAGGUUGAACGGCCACAUUGGGACUGAGAUACGGCCCAGACUCCUACGGGAGGCAGCAGUCGGGAAUAUUGCGCAAUGGAGGAAACUCUGACGCAGUGACGCCGCGUGCAGGAAGAAGGUUUUCGGAUUGUAAACUGCUUUAGACAGGGAAGAAACAAGACAGUACCUGUAGAAUAAGCUCCGGCUAACUACGUGCCAGCAGCCGCGGUAAU